This 1340-nucleotide long non-coding RNA is filed under the name Heterocephalus glaber (naked mole-rat). RNAcentral describes it as "lncRNA (ENSHGLG00000043643.1)". Lineage: Eukaryota; Metazoa; Chordata; Mammalia; Rodentia; Bathyergidae. The record is from RNAcentral.
GGAUCGAACUCGGGUCCUUGUGCUUACGCAGCAGGCAGUGAAACCACUUAGCUAAAUCCCUGGCCCCUUGUUGUUGUUUUUUGUUUUGUUUUGUUUUGUUUUUUGGUACCAGGGAUUGAACUUGGGUCCUUGCCCUUGCGCAGCAGGUGGCGAAACCACUGAGCUAAAUCCACAGCCCCUUGUUAUGAGCACUACUAAUAUUGAAAGAGCACCUAUAAAACCACCUUUUCAAGAGCAUUUCUAAUACACUUUUUUUCCUUUUUGUGUUCCUGGGGAUUAAAUCCAGGGCCUUUGCCUUGACCCACAUCUCCAGCCCUCCCUAUUUUUAAAAAUUUUGAUUCAGGUUCUCACUGAGUCACUAAAUUGUGAUCCUCCCUUCUCAGGCUCCCACAGUGCUGGGAUUACAGGCACGGGCCUCCAUCCCUGGCUCGGCUUUAGAGACAGGGUCUCGCUCUGUGGCCCAGUCUGGCCUUGAACCUGUGAUCUUCCUGCCUUUGUCUCCCAAGUGUGGGGAUCACAGGUGUAUAUCACACACCCAGCAGAUAACAUUUAUUUCUCAGCCUUAUCUAGCAGAUGGACUAAUCCUUAGGGUGAAGAUCUCAGUCAUUGUUCUCACAGUGACCCUGGCACAUGACCUACACUGCAGAGUGGUCAGGUCCCUUCCUGGGUGUCUGCAUUCUCAAGGACGAAGAGCUGCAGGGAGGGUUCCAGAAGGUCACUACCUUGUCUUUUCCAGGAACUGUAAGAGGACAGAGUGCUGCUGGUGCCUCCAAGAUGGCAAGCACAGACCUUCCACGCAGAACACGGGUGUUGGGGCAGAGAUAAGAGACAGAAAGCCUGGGUUGAGGAAGGCAGCCUGUAACUGCUGAGACAGCUGAGUUGUGUUGGGGUCAACUGGAGCCCUACCUCUGGGGCACAGCAGGUGGCCCGCCAGGAAGGAAGCGGGACUGAGCACCGGGCAUUAGGGCGGGAUUUAGGUCCACUCGCGUUCUCCAAAUGAGAUCUGAGGGCUGGCGAAUCCCAGUGACGUGCGGGGGGGGAUAGACGAGUGUUACCAGGAAGCCCCGACCUCUGCUUGCGGGGAGAGAGGCCAGGAGGGGCGUGAGGGGCCGUGCAGCACACUCAGCCCUCCCCGGUGUUCGGGGGCCUCGGGUGCCCCAACUUCCGGGCGGCUGGGAUCUGAUCUCCUGCGGGCUGCGCCGAGAGCCCCACGCAGAGCGAGCGGAUCGGAGACAGCGCGAUGUUCCGGCUGAGCAAAGCCAGCUGCAAACCUGCUCAGGCGGCUUCCUUUCCCCGGCGCGGGGACCGAACGGGGCCUCUAGCGGCCACUCUGAGAAUGC